AUUGAACGCUGGCGGCAGGCCUAACACAUGCAAGUCGAACGGUAGCACAGAGAGCUUGCUCUCGGGUGACGAGUGGCGGACGGGUGAGUAACGUCUGGGAAACUGCCCGAUGGAGGGGGAUAACUACUGGAAACGGUAGCUAAUACCGCAUAACGUCGCAAGACCAAAGUGGGGGACCUUCGGGCCUCACCCCAUCGGCUGUGCCCAGAUGGGAUUAGCUAGUAGGUGGGGUAAUGGCUCACCUAGGCGACGAUCCCUAGCUGGUCUGAGAGGAUGACCAGCCACACUGGAACUGAGACACGGUCCAGACUCCUACGGGAGGCAGCAGUGGGGAAUAUUGCACAAUGGGCGCAAGCCUGAUGCAGCCAUGCCGCGUGUAUGAAGAAGGCCUUCGGGUUGUAAAGUACUUUCAGCGGGGAGGAAGGCGGUGAAGUUAAUAACUUCACCGAUUGACGUUACCCGCAGAAGAAGCACCGGCUAACUCCGUGCCAGCCGCCGCCGUAA
Molecule: ribosomal RNA, 504 nt
Filed under: uncultured bacterium
Lineage: Bacteria
Description: partial 16S ribosomal RNA
Rfam family: Bacterial small subunit ribosomal RNA
Source: RNAcentral